UUUUUUUUUUUUUGGUCGAAACGGUAGGAUUUUGGCAAAAUAUGGUGUUAAGUGCUACAUUUUUCUUAUAUUUUGUAUUUGGUGUUAUUUACAAGACUUUUGAAAUUGAAAGGAGUUUAAAAGGAGAAUUUUCAGAAAACUACUGAAGUUCUAGCAUAGGUACGCUUGCUUACUCGUAAAAUCCAAUGAUAGCUGGAAAAAGGAAUCUUUGUUGACAGCCUCUUGUUGUAGAUAAUAUGACAAAAUUUUAUUACAUAUAUUUUAUGAGGUCAUGUGAAAAGUAAAAUUGUUUUCAUAGUAUUUUUAAAAUGUAUAAAACACAGAAGAUUUUUUAAAUAAUAUACACAAUCGUGUAUUAUACAGGUAUAUUAUGAUUUCUUACUACUAAGUUUCAAUCAUUAAUAAGAAAAUGUUAAUAUUAUUUCAAUUAAACUUCCUGACACUACUUUGAUAUAAAAUUUUUAAAUAAAAUAAUAAAUUUUUGCCACAAACUAGUAAGUUUUAAUCAUUACGAUAAUUUAUUUCUAUCUAGGUGGAUGGGUUCAAUAAGUAAUCAAAUUGUUUCUAAAAAUAUGACAAUGUGUAACAUCACAUAAAAACUGUUUGUUACCAUAUCCAUAGUUACUAAAGCAUUUUCCAAUUGGAAAAUGGCUACAUCUCUCUUUAAUGAUUUGAUAACAUUAUAUUUGAACAUGUGGACUUUCUAAAUUAAAAGAAAAGCUUUAAUACGGAUCCCGGCUUUAAGAAACGGAGAGAGACCACUCAAAUUGGUUUUGUGUCUCUUCCCAUGAGCUCAUACAACAUUUGUUUUAUUCAAGGGCGUUUGGUAAAUGGUUUCAUAUUGAGAAAUGAGAAAAUUCUAAGGUUAUGAUGAAUUCUAAAAUCAUUCUACAAAAAAGUUGCUUGUGAUGUACGCUACUGGGCAAAGGGUGUUCGCAUUUGCAAAAUGAAGUUUGUCAUCUUUUGUAUCAAAAAUCAGCAACCACAAAUGGCAAACAAUGUCCUUUUUGCUGAAAUAUAAUCAGAACUCAAUAAAUUUAGCUAUACCUUGCAUUUGCAAAAUGGAAAUUUGACGAGCUCGCAUUUUACAAAUGCGAACAUCACUUCACAGAAUCCUAUAUUCAAAAAGCCUCAUUUGUCAAAAAAAUAAAUAAAUAAUAUUAAAUUUCAUCAUAAAAUUAAAAAGGGAUAAUUGCAGAAACCUCCCCUGAAGUUUCUGACAUUUGCACUGGCCUCCCCUGUAGUUUAGAAAAUUACACUGACCUCCCCUAAGGUUACUAAUCCUUUGCAAAUUUAGUCCAAACGAUUAAAAUAUUGUUUUAGAGAGUGAAAUUAGAAUUUUUUACUAGAUUUGCCCUUUGUGUUACAUGUCUAAUGAAUAACAAAGUACUAUAAAUCAAUUAACAAUUAAUGAACUUUAAAGAGUAUAAUUUAUGGGCAAACACGCAUUACUCAUUUAAAGUAUCGGCUCUUUACGGGUAUUUUACUUUCAAACAUUUAAUUUAUGAUAAAUAUAUCAAUAUUUGUAAGUAAAAUUCAAAAAGUGUUACAGUAAUAUUUUUGCAAAAAGGAAAUCGGUAGGUUAUUUAUUUAAUAUAAAUUAAAUAUAAAAAAAAGGACAUGGCCCAUAAAGUAUUAAUUCUUUAUGGCUUUCAUCUAUUACAUGAGUAAAGUAUUCGCUCUUUAUGUGCAUUUUAUUCUGAAUCAUUUAAUUUAUGUUAAAUACAUAAAUGUUUGCAACUAAAAUUAAAAAAGUGUUAUAUUAAUAUUUUUAUGGAAGAAAAAUUGGUAGAUUUUGUAUUUAACAAAAAUUAAAUAUUUGAAAGUAAAUACAAAUUUGUAUUUGAGCGUAAAUAUUUAUAUUAAAUUAAAUGUUUGAAAGUAAAAUACCCGUAAAGAGUCGGUACUUUAAAUAGUUACCGGCUCUUUAUGAGCAAACACGCAUUAUUCAUUUAAAGCGCCGGCUUUUUACGAGUGUUUUACUUUCAAACAUUUAAUUUAUGAUAAAUAUAUCAAUGUUUGUAAGUAAAAUUUAAAAAGUGUUACAGUAAUAUUCUUGCAAAAAGGAAAUUGGUAGGAUAUUUAUUUAAUAUAAAUUAAAUAUUGUGUUAAAAAAAAAAGAAAUGGCCCAUAAAGUAUUAAAUCUUUAUGACUUUCAUCCAUUACAUGAGUAAAGUAUUGGUUCUUUAUGGGCAUUUUAUUCUAAAUCAUUUAAUUUAUGUUAAAUACAUAAAUGUUUGUAACUAAAAUUAAAAAAGUGUUAUAUUAAUAUUUUUACGGAAGAGAAAUUGGUAGUUUUUGUAUUUAACAAAAAUUAAAUAUUUGAAAGUAAAUAUAAAUCUGUAUUUGAGCGUAAAUAUUUGUAUUAAAUUAAAUAUUUAAAAGUAAAAUAUCCAUAAAAAAUUGGUACUUAAAUAGGUAAUGCGUAUUUGCCUAUAAACUAUAUUCCUUAAAGUUUAUUAAUUAUUAAUUGAUUUGUAGUACUUUGUUAUUCAUUGAACAUGUAUUACAAAGGACAAAUUUGGUACAAAAUUCUAAUUUCACUCCCUAAAAUAAUAUUUUAAUCGUUUGGACUGAAUUUGCAAAGGAUUAGUAACCUCAGGGGAGGUCAGUGUAAUUUUUCAAACUACAGUAGAGGUAAGUGCAAAUGUCGGAAACCUCAAGGUAGGUUUCUGCAAUUAUCCCAAUUAAAAAUUUCUCGUGAUAUAUGUCCUACAUCACAUCACUUGACUGAUUACUGGAAAGGCUGUCCUACAACUGUUUUUCUGUGGCAGGAAUUUUCAUUUGUUGAUGAAUAUUCCGAUUAGUAUUUGUUGGCACCUUUCUCCUUUUCGCCACAUUCAAGUUAUUAUUGAGGUUAUGAACCUGACAAUCAGAUAUGAUCAUUGCAAUGCUUGUAUCCUGUCAUAGUUGAUGAAAUUUUCAUUUGCGUCAAUCGAUGCUUUCCUACCAUACACCUAUUCUUACUCCUACUCUAAUAUAUGCUAAAGGAGAGGGUCCAACUAAAUCUACUGAGAAAUUGACGAAAACUGAACCACUAGCAUCAGACUAAUGCAUCAUGCCCUCAUAUAAAUUUAAACAAUUUAAAGUGACAAAUCACAUAUAAUGACAAGUGAUGGAAGGCAACGUUUAAAUUCUUGACCUCCCAUUCCACUUGAGAUUCAACAAUUCAAAUGACUGUUGGUUAUUUAGUAUUUGUUUGCACCUUUGUCCUUUUUGUCUCAUUCAAGUUAUUAUUGGGGUUAUGAACCUGACAAUCAGACGUUACCAUUGCAAUGCUUGUAUUCUGAAAUAGUUGAUGAAAUUAUUGACAUCCUGGGGUGGUGAUGCUAAUUUUUGUUGUGUUCUUAGAGAGGAGGUACUAGGUAGAUUUUUUUUUUUUUUGGGGUGCUUGAAUGGAACUGUGGCCAUAUGCCAAAGUGGGCACUAAGUAGUUAUAUCCCACUAAGUAGUUGUAAAUCCUACUUUACUUUCUUUUGAAGUAAGAGGGAAGAUGCACAUGGAUAUGCCUGGAUUAUGACUAAAUUGAAUAGCCAGGAAAUGGUGGAUGCCAUAUCUGCAGUAAUAAGUUUCCAGGAAGUUCCAACUGCCAACCACAGAAGCAAACCUGUAGCGCUCCAACCAGGAUAGGAUUUGCUUGUCUCAGUCUAUUUUGUUAGAAGUACUCGUUAAGAUUUUGAGUGAUGGCCAAAGCUCGCCAACCGUGGGUGUGCUUCCAGUGUACAUUGGAGAUAUGCACCAAUUUACAAAAUGGUUAGUAAAUUAGCUCAGGACACCAAAAGAAUUCCUAAUUGAACUGCUACUCAAAAGGGAGGUCAAUGAGCUAUUUGAUUCCCAUUUUCACCAUUGUUCACUAAAGAAGAUCAACAAGCUAUAUGGACGAGAGGUCCUCAUAUAUAGUCUUGAUACCUGGCCUUUCAGAUACAGAGCGUAUACAACGUAAAGCUAUCCCGAGGACCUCCUUCGUUCCUUUCUCGGCCGCAGGAGUCCCCAUCUCAGGCAUUAAUGCAGCAUCAAAACAAUCAGAUCCAUGACCU
Molecule: long non-coding RNA, 4037 nt
Filed under: Coffea arabica (coffee)
Lineage: Eukaryota; Viridiplantae; Streptophyta; Magnoliopsida; Gentianales; Rubiaceae
Description: long non-coding RNA (CARA_LNC006252)
Source: RNAcentral